RNAcentral lists this unclassified non-coding RNA (409 nucleotides) under Artemisia argyi. RNAcentral's name for it is "partial external transcribed spacer". The record is from RNAcentral. Lineage: Eukaryota; Viridiplantae; Streptophyta; Magnoliopsida; Asterales; Asteraceae.
GUCCGUAAAGGUGGAUGAGUGGUGUUUGGUUUGUCACGUGUGGUUGGCUGCGGCGUUUGCAACAACUUCCAUGCUUUCAGACCUCUUCAGUUGUGCGGCAAGGCUUGUAUCGCCUUGUCGUAUUGCGGGUUUUCUGUGUUGUAUACCUAAUCAAUGGUAUCGGUUGGAUUGAUCAAUGUUUCAUUUCGUCUCUUGUCGCAUUCGCGGCGUGAGACGAACCUCGAUGCGGUCUCUUUGGCCCACCUCGUCGAAGCACAUGCUUUGACGUUGUGGCACAUUGAGCAUUGCUUGGUCUCUUGUAUACGGAACAUAUAGUGGGCAUGGAUCUAACGAUUCUUGUUUGCCCUCAUGUUAGCGUAACGCUUCUCUUACACGACUUGCUCCACGUUUUAGCUCGUACGGACGUGGU